UAGCAUAUCAGUAAGCGGAGGAAAAGAAACUAACCAGGAUUCUCCUAGUAACGGCGAGUGAACGGAGAUUAGCCCAUCAUCGAAGUCUAUUCACGUUUGUGAACAGGACAAUGUGAUGUUCGGGUAUGCGCCUGGGAACGUUGGCCUGCUUUAAGUCCAAAUCCGAUUGCGGCUUGGCAUGUUCUCCAUAGAGGGUGAAAGCCCCGUGCUAGCAGGUUUUUUCUGUUCUUUCAACGUUCCCCAGAUGCGCAUGCUAUCGAGUCGGAUUGCUUGAGAAUGCAGUCCAAAGUGGGUGGUAAACUCCAUCCAAGGCUAAAUACUGGCGCGAGUCCGAUAGUAAACAAGUACCGUGAGGGAAAGUUGAAAAGUACUCUGAAGAGAGAGUUAAUAGUACGUGAAACCGCUUGAAGGGAAUCGUAUGGAGUCAAGCUUCGUGCUUGGAAAAUUAUCGUUCGAUCAUUGUUGUGUCAGGAUAUGAGGCAAUGCAACUUGGAAUAAGUUGGACGCAUUCUGUGUGUUACAAGUCGUUCCGGGAAGCCCGUUUGUCUGUGUCUCUAUCUCCUCGAUCGUAUGGGAAUUUUUCUGUGCACAAAUCACGGUCCAUAGCGUUAUGUAUAUUGUGAUUGCCUAACAGUGCCUUUGUCAAUGCAAAUUGGCGGGGUGCUGGAUGGAAGGUGUUCCAACUUGGCUCGUCCRUAGUUGGUAAUUAUGUUAUUCGGUCUAUGACCGUCUGGCAAUCACGAUGCUAUAUCUACGCUAUAGAAUGGUUCAUGUUCGGUGGUCAAUCUAUAUGGUUGGCUGCUUGUCAAGAUCGUGAUUCUGAGGUAGACGUUCCAUAUGACCCGUCUUGA
Molecule: ribosomal RNA, 851 nt
Filed under: Lethrinitrema zhanjiangense
Lineage: Eukaryota; Metazoa; Platyhelminthes; Monogenea; Dactylogyridea; Ancyrocephalidae
Description: eukaryotic LSU rRNA
Rfam family: Eukaryotic large subunit ribosomal RNA
Source: RNAcentral